UUUGGAGGGCAAGUCUGGUGCCAGCAGCCGCGGUAAUUCCAGCUCCAAUAGCGUAUAUUAAAGUUGUUGCAGUUAAAAAGCUCGUAGUUGAAUUUCGGGAUUUGUCAGUUGGUCGGGCUUMACUGUCCGUAUUGACUUGAUGGAUUCUUACCUUCUGAAUAACCAGCAUGCUAUUAAGUUAGUGCGUUGGGGAAGCAGAUCUAUUACCUUGAAAAAAUUAGAGUGCUUAAAGCGAGCUAGUGCUUGAAUAGAUUAGCAUGGAAUAAUAAAAUAGGACGGCAUGGUUCUAUUUUGUUGGUUUCUAGGAUCACCGUAAUGAUUAAUAGGGAUAGUUGGGGGCAUUAGUAUUCAAUUGUCAGAGGUGAAAUUCUUGGAUUUAUUGAAGACUAACUUCUGCGAAAGCAUUUGCCAAGGAUGUUUUCAUUAAUCAAGAACGAAAGUUAGGGGAUCGAAGACGAUCAGAUACCGUCGUAGUCUUAACCAUAAACUAUGCCGACWGAAUCGACGAGUACCGCAAUGGCCUCUCCUACYUCUWCUCCMAAAACAGACAWUAACARRRRGGGGAC
RNAcentral lists this ribosomal RNA (566 nucleotides) under Acaulospora longula. RNAcentral's name for it is "SSU rRNA". The record is from RNAcentral. Lineage: Eukaryota; Fungi; Glomeromycota; Glomeromycetes; Diversisporales; Acaulosporaceae.